Molecule: Y RNA, 89 nt
Filed under: Octodon degus (degu)
Lineage: Eukaryota; Metazoa; Chordata; Mammalia; Rodentia; Octodontidae
Description: Y RNA (ENSODEG00000025707.1)
Rfam family: Y RNA
About the family: Y RNAs are components of the Ro ribonucleoprotein particle (Ro RNP), in association with Ro60 and La proteins. The Y RNAs and Ro60 and La proteins are well conserved, but the function of the Ro RNP is not known.
Source: Rfam by way of RNAcentral
CUGGUCUGAUGUCACUGGGUUAUCAGAACUUAUUAACGUUAGUGUCACUAAAGUUGGUAUACAACCCCCCCACUGCUAAAUUUGACUGG